CUCAGAUGGCCAAAGCACAAGCAGAUUUGAUACAGCUGUAUUUUUUAGAUGGAGUCUCGCUCUGUCGCCCAAGCUGGAGUGCAGUGGCGCGAUCUCAGCUCACUGCAACCUCCACCUCCUGGGUUCAAGCGAUUCUCCUGCCUCAGCCCCCUGAGUAGCUGGGACUACAGGCGUACACCACCAAGUCUGGCUAAUUUUUUGUAUUUUUAGAAGAGAUGGGGUUUCACCAUGUUAGUCAGGAUGGUCUCGAUCGCCCUCCUCGGUCUCCCAAAGUGCUGGGAUUACAGGCAUGAGUCACCACGCCUGGCCUGAUACAGCUGUAUCUUUAAAGCUCCAACAUGUGAGGAGGUUCAGCCUUGAGGGGCCUAUCAGGAACCAAGAACCACAACAUUCUUUUCCUUUCUGAGGUCGUAGCCGCUGUGAGUCUUAGCUUCUCUCUGCAUCUGUGAGGUCAUCUCCCUUUCUGUAGAGCAUAUGAUCUUUACUGAUGCACCUGCAUCUGGCUCAGACUUAGUCACCCAGCCCUGAAAUUAUAUCAUAUCACAGGUCAUUCUCUGAGUCUCUUAAUGUGAGGCCUUGAGAGAAAAAUCAACAUGCCUUCUGUUGGAUGAAGACCAAUCAGCAAGAUGGUGGUGAUUGUGAGUCGUUGCAAGGAUCAAGUGAGUUGAAAUCCGUAAGGUGCUUGGGAGAAUGCCUGGCGCCUGGAAGCACUGUAUAUUCCAAAAAAGGAGAUAUAAACAUGACCAUAAAAGACAUGAAAAGAUGUUUAACCCCAUUAGUCAUCGUGGAAAUGCAAAUGAAAACCACCAUACAGACACUAGAGUGGUUUAAAUUUGAAUGACUUCCAACACCAAAUGCCAGACAGGACAUAGAGCAACUGGAUGUCUCAUGCUCACAGGCAGAAGGGAAAACUACUGUGUGUGACAGGAAGAUGGACUUACCCAACCUUCAGCAUUCUCAAUCUCUUGUCUAUUAACAUGUGUUUGAAACAUUAUGCAUUCAAAGCAAACAUCUGGGAGGAAGAUGGGAGAAGCCUUCUUGCCCCUGUUCUACAGAAGUAAUUGAAGUUCAUGACAUUCAAGCUCAUUCACCAGUAAAUGAAUUUGGGUCAUGCUUUAUGUCUGUUGUAAAUACAGUGAAAAUUUG
Molecule: long non-coding RNA, 1146 nt
Filed under: Homo sapiens (human)
Lineage: Eukaryota; Metazoa; Chordata; Mammalia; Primates; Hominidae
Description: non-protein coding lnc-C5orf49-2:1
Source: RNAcentral